UCUGGGGGCGUGGCCAACCAUGCGGGAGGCGGGGCCUUGAUGCUGGACAUCAGGCUGUGCUGCCGGCAGCCUGUGAGAAGGCCGUGAAGAUGGCGGCCUCCUGGAGGCUAGGUUGUGAUCCGCAAUUGCUGCGUUAUCUUGUGGGCUUCCCUGGCCGCCGAAGCGUAGGGCUGGUGAAGGGGGCUCUUGGGUGGUCUGUAAGCCGCGGAGCUAAUUGGAGAUGGUUUCACAGCACGCAGUGGUUUCGGGGUGACCCCAUUAAGAUACUAAUGCCAUCACUGUCUCCUACAAUGGAAGAAGGAAACAUUGUGAAAUGGCUGAAAAAGGAAGGUGAAGCAGUGAGUGCUGGAGAUGCAUUAUGUGAAAUUGAGACUGACAAAGCUGUGGUUACCUUAGAUGCAAGCGAUGAUGGAAUCUUGGCCAAAAUCGUGGUUGAAGAAGGAAGUAAAAAUAUACGGCUAGGUUCACUAAUUGGUUUGAUAGUAGAAGAAGGAGAAGAUUGGAAACAUGUUGAAAUUCCCAAAGACGUAGGUCCUCCACCACCAGUUUCAAAACCUUCAGAGCCUUGCCCCUCACCAGAACCACAGAUUUCCAUCCCUGUCAAGAAGGAACACAUGCCCGGGACACUACAGUUCCGUUUAAGUCCAGCUGCCCGCAAUAUUCUGGAAAAACACUCACUGGAUGCUAGCCAGGGCACAGCCACUGGCCCUCGGGGGAUAUUCACUAAAGAGGAUGCUCUCAAACUUGUCCAGUUGAAACAGACGGGCAAGAUUACUGAGUCCAGACCAACUCCAGCCCCCGCAGCCACUCCCGCAGCACCGUCGCCCCUACAGGCCACAGCUGGGCCAUCUUAUCCCCGGCCUGUGAUCCCACCAGUAUCAACUCCUGGACAACCCAAUGCAGUGGGCACAUUCACUGAAAUCCCUGCCAGCAAUAUUCGAAGAGUUAUUGCCAAGAGAUUAACUGAAUCUAAAAGUACUGUUCCUCAUGCAUAUGCUACUGCUGACUGUGACCUUGGAGCUGUUUUAAAAGUUAGGCAAGAUCUGGUCAAAGAUGACAUUAAAGUAUCAGUAAAUGAUUUCAUCAUCAAGGCAGCAGCCGUUACCCUUAAACAAAUGCCAGAUGUUAAUGUAAGCUGGGAUGGAGAGGGCCCAAAGCAACUGCCAUUUAUUGACAUUUCAGUGGCUGUGGCAACAGAUAAAGGCUUACUUACACCAAUCAUAAAAGAUGCUGCUGCUAAGGGUAUCCAGGAAAUUGCUGACUCUGUAAAGGCUCUAUCAAAGAAAGCAAGAGAUGGAAAAUUGUUGCCUGAAGAAUACCAAGGAGGAUCUUUUAGAUGUGCGAUUUGGGGCGUGGAGUGUCAAAGGAAGAGAACUGGGGGAAUUCUUGACCUGGCUGGGCUCUUCUUUGGCCCCAGCUCGCCUUUCAUCCUUCACCUCCCUCCCAUCCUGGCUGCUCACAUUCCUACGUGAUAAGAAGGUGGAGGCUCAGGAAGGUGGAGUGACUUUCUACUACUAAAGAACUAGCAGGAAAGUAUUUCAAAUUCAAGUCUCAUGACCCUAAAUGUAGGGUAUUUCCCAGUGGCUCAUGGUAAUUGAGUUCCUUAAAAAUGAGCCACUGCUGUCUGAGGCCUGAAACCACAGGGCUUACUGAUGUGGCUGCAAGCUGCAGCUCUAUGCCAGAAAGGGGACAAGCUAAGGAGAAGAGGAACCACAUUUGCACUGGCGGAACUCAGCAUGUCUCACGCAUGCCGAAUGUUUACGUGUGUUCCCCACUUGGUAUCCAUAGCAACUGGCAGAGGUGCAAAAAUGCUUCAUUGGUAUUUGUAAGAGGAUGAGAAGAAAGCCCUCCAAGAUCCUCUUUCUCCCAGUGGGCAGGGCUAUUUCCAUCCAUGGCUUCGUGACUUCUCCCAGCAGCCGUUUGGCAUGAGGAUUUCAAACAGCAGGAAGCCAGUGAGUCCACCGGAUAGGUAUUUGAAAUGUACUGAAUGGAAAGCCCUCAUCUCCUGCUCCCUCUUCCAGGCAAUUAUUCAUGGAGUCAGGAGAGGAUUCUGUUAUUCAAGGAGUCCCCAUAGUAAGGGGCUGAGAGAUUGUGGUUUCUAGUCUUUAACCACAACAUUUAAGGCGUGGCUCCAUUUUUCUUAUAAUUUCCAAGUGUACAUCAUUACCUAAUUCUCCCUGAAGAAUCGAAAUUGCUUUAUGAUGCAUAUGUAUUAGUGAUGUGAGCUGAGAUUCUGAGCCAGCAAACAUCUUUCUCAGAAACCUCCCUCUUGUUCUCCUCUCCCGUGUUGCCCCUUGAAGUUACUCCUUCUACCAGAGAUGCUCAAAGGUUCUUGGUCAGAAAGUCUAUAUUGCAGCAAUUAAAACUGGGGUUCAACUCAACAUAUGUGUAGCAGAAUAUUUUAUCUCUCAGCAUCUCAAUUUGUGACUUAAAUGAUUCAUGAGAUGUUUGUUAGUGCAUUAUGGUCGAAAGCACCUUUCUGAGUGCUUUGAGAGAAACAAGAAUAAAAGCAUUCCUAACCGCACCCUGCCCCCUGCAAUCCCACCAAGGAUCUUACAAAACCCAUUUAGCUAAGCUCUUAUAUAGCAUUGAACCAAUCAUUGCACACUCAGCAUGUGACCAACACGUAUACUGAAGCCCACUUGAAAAACUGAGCACCUAUGCAAGUUUCCCAGGCAGGGCUAGAUUCAUGGGCAGGUAACCAGUGCAGUUGCAGUUGCACAGGGAUCUCUGCUCAGAAGGCCUUGCUUGGGGUUUAAUGCACAAUUCUUAAUUUAUCUUUCAAUGUGUAUUUUGUAAGAGGAGUCUCAUGGGACAAGGGAGCUGACUCGUGGUCCUGCCUCCUACCCACCCUCUGUUUGGGCCCUUAGUGUCCCAGGCUCCACUCUACCUACUCCCCACUCUCUGCUCCAUGACACUUGCUACCCUUCCCUCAGGGUGGCUACUAGGUCAGGUUGGCAGACAGGGAGGCAACAUUCUGCCCACACCCUCUGCAGGGGCCUGGGAGCAGUUGUGAGAAGAGGCUCUGCUGGGUAUGCACACUAUGGCAUCCUGGGAAAGAGCAUGGCAGUGUUGUCACUACCCUGGGCUGGCAGCACGGUGGUAUAUUUGGAAGGCAACUGGAUGGGGCCUUCUCACCCACUCCCAUCCAGGUAACAGGUGUGUCCUGGUGUGGAGGUUGCAAUCCCUUGGUAGGGGCACUGUAGAUUGAGGAGAGACAGGCUGUAGGAAUGAGAUACUAACUUACCUGCCAUGGCUAGGCCUCAUUUUCACUUUGCACUUAGGUCCCACAAUUAUGUAGCCAGCUCUGGUCCUGGACCAAAUGGCCUCUAGUGACUCCCUCUUUCCAAUCUAAGCAGGUCUUGCACAACUGUCAUGAAUGAAGCCAAUUCUGAUUUCCUAUCAGUUCAAUUUUUUUUAAAUUGCAUUCUGUUCCUCAGAAUCCAUUCCAACCAUAAAAACAUGAAAAAUUGAUUUUGAUCUCAGUAUAACAUCACCUCAUAAAUAUAUUUGAUAUAAUCACAAUCUUUAGAACUUGCUGUCUGUAUAAAAUGGGUUUCACACCUCAGCUCUUAAAGGCACUUGUUUAUUAUGGAAAAUCAAGCACAAUGUAAAAUUUACAUCGUAAAUGUGGCUUAUGAGGGAUUUUCCUGCAGAGACAGGACUGACUGAAGCUUUGUUCUCUAAACUUGGGCAAACAUUUUACAUGUUGAAAAGUAUCAUUUUGAUGAUUUCUUUUCAACACUGUUCCAGUUUUCGAAGGAAGAAUUAUAAAUAACAAGGCAUGAGAUUUCCCCCAAAGGUAUAUUUUUAGCAAUUUAAUACCUGGUAAAUUUUUCUUUCUUUUUGCUCAACAGCUAGGCGACUGCAUAGGAGAUUGGUCCAAGCCAACACACAUUCACUGGACAUCUGCCAUGAUGUGAGCCAAACCCUGGGCCCCAGGACGUAUGGAAAAUAUACAGACAAAUUAGAAGGUCCCUGCCCUUAAAAAGCAUCUAAGACCCUCAGUUGCUGAAUAGACAUAAAUCUGUAGCUGCUGAAGGAGAUGGCCAAGAGCUGGAAGGAGGCUGGCAGGCAUUGCUUGUGCCUUACUCCUCUCUGAGCACCAUAUUGUCAGCAGAAGAGGCCGCUUGGCCCAGGCUGACUGUGGACAGGUCUUGAUUACUUGAGGUCCACUGGGAGUUGCUGUCUGCAGCCUGACACAUAGAACGCCUUGCUUUCUCUUCCCUGUCUGUUAUAAAAGUUGCUUUUGGAAAAGCACCAUUUCUUGGGUCAGCAUGAAGAUUACCCUUGUGGUAGAUGCUGGAAAUAUUAACUAUUAUUAACAAAUAUUACUUAGGGCUUGCUAUAGGUGAGGCACCAUGCUGGAUUCCAGGCCUGUGGUCCCUGCUCUCAGGGCAUCAUGGUAAAUUGGAAAAGAUAUGUAAGCAAAUGACUAAAGUGUGUAUGGAACUUGGCACUGGGGAACUGACAGUCAAAAGUCAGUUAAAUCUCAGCUUUGACUUCAGCUGGCAUAGUGAUUUUGAUCAAUGCCUGCAAAUUCUCUGGGCUCUGGUUUCUUUAUUUGUAAAAUGUAUGUGUGGCUGAGGAGAAAGAACUUGUCUAUCUGGUCUCCAUGUUGACUUUUCUGUUAAAAUUCCCUGACUCUUCAAGCCUCCUAGAAAUAAUCAGCACCCCAUAGGCAAGCUUCCCUUUGACCUGUGUAUUAGUUUUCUAGGGCUGCCAUAGAAAGUACAGCAAACAGGGCACCUGUAGUCCCAGCUACUCAGGAGGCUGAGGCAGGAGAAUGGCGUGAACCCAGGAGGCGGAGCUUGCAGUGAGCCGAGAUCACGCCACUGCACUCCAGCCUGGGCAACAGAGCAAGACUCUGUCUCAAAAAAAAAAAAAAAAGUCCAGCAAGCAGAGUGACCUAAACAACAGAAAUUUAUUGUCUCACGGUUCUGGAGUCUACAAGUUGGAGAUCUAGGUAUCUGCAGGUUGGUUCCUUCUGAGGGCUGUGAGGGAGAAUCUGUUCCAUGACUCUUCCCUGGCUUCUGGUUUGCUGGAGAUUUUUUACAUUCCUUGGCUUAUAGAUCCCUGUCUUCAUGUUCAUAUGAUGUUCUCCUCUGUGUAUCUGUGUCCACAUUUCCCCAUUUCAUAAGGAUACCAAUCAUAUUAGACUACAGGCCCACCCUACAUCAUUAUAAAUUCAUCUUAACUAAUCACACUUGCAAAGACCCUAUUUCCAAAUAAGGCCAUGUUCUGGUGUAUUGGCAGUAGGACUUCAACUUAUGAAUUUUGGAGGGGCAGAAUUCAACCCAUAACAACUAGGUUUAUUCAUUUCUACCUUAGAAUCUUUGGUCCAGUCUGACCCAAGAUGGUAAAUAGUUUUCAUUUCAGUUGCUAAAUCUUAUUAAUUAAAGUCAUUACCUGGAGUGUUGUGUGAAGACACGUGAGUUGACAUCUUUUUCCCUUUAGUGGGAAAGGCAACUGGAAUUGGUUCAGCGCACCUGAGAAGCAGGAGAUUUAAAAAAUCCUACUGUCUAUCUUUGAACCAAGGACCCCACCCAAAAGUGAGAAACCUACAAAGAACUACUUUUUUCAGAGCUCUCCAGUUGAAAUGUUUCCCAAAAGGUGAUUGCCAAUUUGCAAUCUUGCUACAGACAAUCACACUAGCAGGGCCAUCAAGCCCAUCCCGUGAGAAUGAUCAAAUCUCCAAUAAGACUCAGCUGUUCCGUGGGGGAGUGAGGGGAAUGAAGCAUUUAGAAAGAUAAAAUCAUCUGAGUUUUCUGAAUGUUUUCCCUGCUGAGGUUGAGGCUGAGAACUUGCAUUGGCUGAAGACUUGCAGCUGGAACCAGAUAGGAGUAAGCUUCUGGAAGCACUAAAAUGAAUCGUCACUCCCACUCCUGGUACCCACAGCAUCAAAACCACCAGAUGCUGACAGCUGCUGUGGAAAUCUAAGCAAGUGGAGGGAUAUCCAGAUUGAGCUGGCCAAGUUUGGUACAAGAGCUAAGAGUCUGGGAACAAUGGGAGGUCAGCUUUCUGUGUCACUGUGGAUACAAAGGAAGUACUUUUGAGACACAGACAGGAAGUGACUGAGGACCUUAAAGGCAGCUUGGGCUAUCCAGGAAAGUUCUUCAUUCUUGUUUUUUCUGCUGAGGCUCUAGAGGGACACCUGUCAGACUGACUAAGGCCGAAGAUGGCUCACUACCAGAGAGAUUCAACUGAGGGCUUACGAUAGGUUUUGAGAUAUUGCUAUUGAUCUUGAGACAUUCAUCUGAAGCAUGAUUGUCACUGGCUUGAAACUUUCCCCAUCAUAAGAGAGGGACUGGGUCUACUUCAAAUGUUUUGCACUAAUGAAGUUACAUUCCCUUUCAUGGGGAGGUAAGUUGAUUGCAUUAACAGCCCCAGUUUUUCAUUCUCCCCUGAGGCCACCCAUUUGGUAGUACCCUCCCACAUUGAUUCUUGGUUUAGUCAUGUAAUUUGCUUUAACCCCCAACAGAAGCUUGAAAAACACUUGUUCAUUUCUGCUUGCACUCCUUAAGCCCUGCCCUCAUCAUGAGACCAUGCCCAGGCUAGUCUGCUGGAAGGAAGUCAGAGGCACACGGAAGAGAGCCACAUUCAGCCAAGGCCAUUCUAGACCAGUUGUUCCCUAUCACUUCACUAAUUGGCCACAGCACAAGGUUUUGUUGAAGACUGAAUGAGUGUGUAAAGUGCCCAACAGAAAGUCUGGCACAUGGUACAUGGAUGGAGCUGGAAGCCAUUAUCCUCAGCAAACUAAUGUAGGAACAGAAAACCAAAUACUGCAUGUUCUUACUUAUAAGUGGGAGCUGAACAAUGAGAACACAUGGACACAGGGAGGGAAACAACACACACUGGGGCCUGUCUGGCAGUGGGGUUGAGGGAGGAGAGCAUUAGGAAAAAUAGCUAAGGCAUGCUGGGCUUAAUACUGGGUGAUGGAUUGAUAGGUGCAGCAAACCACCAUGGCAUAUGUUUACCUUUGUAAGAAACCAGCGCAUCCUGCACAUGUACUCUGGAACUUAAAAUAAAAAUUAAAAUGUUUUUUAAAAAAGGUCAUGAUAUUUUCUCAGCAGCCCAGUUCACAUUUCCAGACCCCUCUGGCAUGUGUUACUCCAGAAAAAGCCCAGUGUGUGUGAGACCCAGGCCACUGUGACACUGUAUGAAAGGGACGGGCACGGAGGAGGGAGUAGGUUGCUCCAGCCAAAGCCAACAGCACCCCGGGAGCUGCUGCAUCUGGCCAAAGGCUGUUUAUGCUUUGCUGCAGACAUCGAAGCCUGCUGUUCAGGGGAGGAGGAUUUCAAUAUGUGACCCCACAAGGCGCAAGCAGAGCCACCUCUGUCAGACUGACCUGGACAAAGUGGUGGGGCCAAGUUUUAGAAAGAAGUUACAUUAGAUAGGGAGACAGGAAAGAAACACUUUGAUUCUUGCUUUUCAAGCUUGUUUCCUGUACUCUUUGGAAAAACAAGACCAGAAAACAGAGCACCUCUUCAGUUGCGUGACAGAGUGGGAAAAGAAUCGGAAUUGAUGGCAGUGGCUCAGCUUCAAUACUGCCCACUGCUGUCUUCCACUUGCAUAUUCUCCUGCAAGUCCCAUAGUCUCUCUGUGCGGACUCAGAUUCCACAUCUGUAAAAUGGGAGCAAUAACAAAGUUGACAUGAGGAUCACAUGGAAUAAUGUAUGUCUUGGACUUUUUUAAGGCAGGCAGUUAUGUGCACAAAUAUUUCAUUUGCUUGUCUUUUUCUCUGUAACUUUUCCCUUUGUCCUACCUAAUCCCUAUUUCUCCUUUUUUUCCAUAUGCAUAUACCUCAGGCCAGAAAUGUUCAAAUGUUUCCACCAAAAAUGCCCCUAACAAGCAAAAAAAUAUGUAAAAAGGUUUAGCCCAAAGGGUCCAACACAAAUGUGAAAUUUCAUUGACAUUUAACGUUUAUUUUUAAGAUGGAUGUGAAUCUUGAAUUUGAUUCCAUAAUAUGUUCAUGUGAAUCAUUUACAGUUAGUUCUUGGUUAAAAAUAAUGGAGUCCAUUCUAGGUAGCUCAGGCAGAACAAGAAUUUAAGGGCAACUGUGGAUCUUCUAGGAAAUCUAAAGCAUUGGGUUCCCCACGUACUGGAAACAUGAUGAAGCCAGUCCCCAGGGGCUGCCCCAGCAAAUGUCCAGUGGUGUUGGCCUUGGACACAAACACCCCAGCCUGCCCCAGACAGAGGUGCUUGCUCUGAUCCCACUGGGGACUGGAUACAGAGACUCUGCUACUGCUGCUUGUGGCUUUGUCACAGUGCUGCCCAAACCGAUUCCUCAAGGCUCCUUCCUCAUAUUGCUUUUGACCAAAUUGAAGUCUUUAGUGGUUGUGUCUGCAUGGUACUGCCUAAGACCCAGCCUAUAACUCAGCUACAAGGGAGGAUGGAAUAGGAAAUUCCAGCUUCUAGUUUAUGAAGGCAGGGCUCACAAUGUAGGACAUUUUCCCAAUACAGAAAAGACUUUGAAUACACACUUAGUGGUCAUAAACAUUAUAUAUCUUAACAUUCUUUUUAAAUCACCUAUCUGCAAGUAAAGUGAAUGUUUUGGAAACAUACACCCUGUUUUUCUAAGCUUUGUGUAUCUAUCAUAAUCUGUGUAAUCCCAAGGGUCCAUGCACUGCAGUUUGAAAAUCCAGGCCCUAGGCCCUCCAGAGGCAUUGCCCGUUUUCAUGGAAUGUACCUGAGGUUAAAGAGAUGAGUCAUCCUCAGAAAGAGAGUACAGUUUCCAUCUCCUAGGAAUGGAGGCACAUUCAAAACAAUUUGAAUAAUCCCAGGUACGAAAUUAUCAUAUUAGGCUCACAAAACUGAUGCCCUUUAACGGCUUUAGAAUCACCAGUCCCACUAUGAACAUACAUCUCCUAAUGCUCACACCGAUGUCAGUUUCCAUGUCUUUAUCCCACCUUUUCCCAGUGCAGGCUUGGUUCCUAUCUAGUCAGAGGAAUUCAGGUCCAUUCAGCACAUUUCAUGUCCAGUUUUGUUUACAGUAAAGGAUCAAGCCUCUCUUCUAUCAUGGCUAAUAAUUCCUGUUAGAAAUAGAAGCCAUUGGGAAAAAGUCACGAAAAAGUCAGCACUCUUUUCUGGAAACUUCAACUUUUGUUAUUUCCAUGACCUGAAGUUUCAUCAUCUUCAUUAGCAGAAAGCCCCAAGUCUGUCAUUGAAUCUUUGAGAGAAGCAAUACAAUUCAAAUUUCCCUCUGGCUUGAAGGUAGUGGGAUUGGCACUGUGGAGGGUUAACAUUCUCUCUGCAAACUACAGGAUGACAUUCUUCUAACAGCACAGCCCUGUCAUUGUUUGGGAAACAGUUCUCCAGGGAGUGGACUAUAAAACCACUGGCCAAAUUUCAAGCGGAAUCACCUCCAAACAUGCUAGGAAGGCAUGCUCUGCGCUGGUAUGCAACAGUGACCCCGACAAAGCAGCCCCCACCUCCAGAGAAGUCAUAUUUAGUGAAGAUAACUAACCAACCAUUCUCAGCGCUUGUAGCACAGGCGAGACAUUCUCAAGUGGAUCAAUUAGACGAAAAAGCAAGACAGAGCCUGCCCCAACACUUAACGCUCAAUUAUUGCCCAAAUGCUAAUGUACAGAAGAAGUAAUGAGGACUGGACUGGAGGGAGAGCCAGAAAGGGCUUCCACAGAAGGUGUGCCUCAUCCAGCCUGAGAGACACGGAGGAGCAGGACCAGCAGGUGAUGGGGGUGGGGGGCGGGUGGGGGUGAGCAAUCCAUUUCAGGUUUCUUCCAAAAAGACGUGUGCAGGGGGCUGGCUGAACUUAGCCACAGUUUCAGGAAUGCAUAGCAAUGAAACUACUGGAAGCAUUUGGCUUCAGUUAAACUUGGGGCCGAGCAGAGCCAAGACCAGCACACCUGGCUGAGGAGCGUGGGCUGUCCAAUGGCCAUCUCACCAAGAUGGUGUGGGAGCAGCGCCUAGGAAGAGACCUAAAGCCAAGGUGGGAAGGUGUCACCAGCUUCCUGACCACAUAGGGAGAAAAGUGGCUCCUGUUUAUCCAUCAAAUAUUUGACUAAGAACAGGUCUUAAUAAGACAUUUCUUUGGUUUUGGGAGGAGGGCAGGUUUGUUUGUUUAUUUGUUUUUCUCUUACCCCUGGAGAGUGAAGAAAUAGAACCCAUGCGAGCAGGCCUUGCUGCAAAAAUGUCACCUCUCCAUUCAGAUGCUGCCACACUGUCGGAAAUGCCACCGUUAGUAAGAGAUUUGAAAAUUUGAUCCUUCUUCAUUCAAAAUGAAAAGAGUUUACAUAGCUAUAGACCUUGACAGGUCAUUAAAAAGUGUUCAGACUCCUGAAAAACGCAUGAAGAAUCCUCAAAACAUUAAAAAUAGAAUGGCCACAUGAUUCAGCAUCCCACCACUGGGUAUAUAUCAAAAAAUAUGAAAUCAGUCAGAGCUAUCUGCACUCCCAUGUUCACUGCAGCAGUAUUCACAAUAGCCAAGGUUUGGAAUCAACCUGAGUAUCCAUGGAGACUCAUGGAUGGGUUUUUAAAAUAUGGUACAUAUACAUAAUGAAAUAUACAGCAGCCUUAAAAAACAAGAAUAUCUUGUCAUUUGAAACAGCAUGGAUUGACCUGGAUGACAUUACAUUAAGUGAAAUAAGCCAGGUUACAGAAAGACAAAUGCCAUAUGACCUCACUCAACAUCUAAUCUAAGAAAAGUGUUGAACUCAUAGAAAUAGAAAAUGAAAUGGGGUUACCAGAGACUGGGGGCUGGGAAGAUUGGGGAAAUAUUGGCCUAAGGACAUAAAGUUUCAGUGAGACAACAUGAAUAAGUUGAAGAGAUCUAUUUUACAAUAUGGUGACUAUAGUUAAUAGCAAUAUAUUGUAUAUUUGAAAACUGCUGAGAGAGUAGAUUUCAAGUGUUCUCACCACAAAAAGUAAGUGUGUGAGACAAAGCCUAUGUUAAAUAGCUUGACUUAGCCAUUCCACAAUGUAUACAAACACCAAAACAUCAUGCUGUAAUCAUAAAGUUUACUUGUCAAUUAAAAAAAUAAAUUUAAAAAGGAUUCCAAUUCCUUAUAUCUGUUGAAUCCCCCGGUAGGUCUAUGAAGUAUGCUGGGCUCUAGAAUGUAGUUGUUUAAGCACCCAAGUGAUGAAGCCAGACUGAGUUUGAAUCCCAUCUCUGACUAGCUAUGAAACCCAGGGCCACCCACAUAACCUCCCUGUGCCUUAGUUUUCUUUGCCCAUAAGUGGGGUGAUGAUAGUACUUACCUCGGAGAGCUGGUAUGAUUAAAUAAACUACUGACAUAAGUGAUUGGAACAAUGUCUAGCAUGCAGCAAGUGACAUGUAAACAUUAGCAAUUAUCAUUAUCCUAUUUUAUAGAUGAGGGAAACUGAGGCUCAGAGAGGUGAAGUGACUUACUCCAGGUCACACCACCAGUUGAUGGCAGAAUGAAGAUCUAACCUCUGCAAUUUGGUCUUCCAACUUGAAGCCUUAUGAUCACAAUGAGGAAGGCUCUCUCUCUUCUUCCACCCUCUCAAAGCAGUGAUAAUCAUUGUGAAGACCCUUUCUUUUAAAUAUGACAAAAAAAAUGCCUGGUAGAGAGGACUUAAAAAGUAGGUGAUGAGGCCCCAAGGAGAAGGAAUAGCAAUGCUUAUUAACAUUCUGCUAUCUGCUGGACUAUUAGAUGAUGGGUUGGAAAACCUUUUUCCGUAAAUGGCCAAACAGUAAAUUAUUUUAGUCUUUGUGGGCCAUCUGGUCUCUGUCAAAACCACUCAAUUCUGCCAUCGUAGUUCACAAACAACCAUGAACAAUACGUAAAUCAAUAGGCAUGGCUAUGUCCCAGUAACACUUUAUUAUGGAUUCUGAAAUUUGAAUUAGGUAGAAUUAUAUUUCAUGUAUGGUGAAAUAUUUCUCUUCUCUUGAUUCUUUCCAGCCAUUUAAAAAUGAAAAUGCAAUUCUGUUCUUUAGGGGCAUACAAAAGCAAGCAGCAAGACAGAUACCAGGGGGCUGUAGUUGGCUGACCUCUGAUGCAGAGGCUGAGAUUAACUUAAUCCUGCCAGCACUGCUGAGACUCAUUUUAUGCAUGAGUAAACUGAGGCUCAGGGGCUUCCAUCACCAGCUUACAAGGCAGAUUAGUGAGGAGCAGAGCUAGGAUUCAGUCCCUCUUUCCAUCUCCUCUGUGAUGCCCUUGGACCUAGUUGUUCCCUCUGUGUCUGUCACCACUGUGUGACAAAGUUACAAGACCCUCUGUUAUAGGACGGGGGAAACCGUCCUGAUGGACAUGCCCCUUCAAUGUGUGAUGACAGCAUUUGCCAUACUCAAGCCUUUUAGGGAAGCAACGUCAAUCAGCUGAUGUUCAGGACAUGUUGCUUCAGGAAAUAGCAGAUCCCAGCCACACCACGGGGCAGGUGCUUAGUACUCAUUUGGUAUGUGGCAUAGGGCAAUGGUUCUGUCACUGCCCCAGCUCUGUGGUACUGGUGACAAGACUCUUGAUUCUCUGGCCUGUAGUCAGCAAGAAGUUUGGGAGGUUCCCUCAUGGCAGAUCACCUUCGUGGGAUAACAGAGAAAGGUGCAUUGGUCUCAAGGGCUUUGGAUCAUACUGGACAAGCAGCAGCAAAAUGAGAGAGGUGCAUGCCUGAAAGAUAAAACUGGGCUAGGAGGUUUCCUGAAGGGUGCGGCCUGGGACUGGGAGAUUUCCUGAGGGCCAACUAGGCUUUAUCUCCCUCUUCCUCACAUCCCGCAUCUCAGACCUCAGACUUGGCCUCUGCCCCCACCUGCCAGACACACUCUCAGCUGAGCCAGCUGUAAGACUUGGGUCCGGCACCCAGCCUUUCCUCUGUGGUGCACAUUGAAGACCCAGGAGUGCCCUGCACUGGAGCUGCUGUUCCCAGACUGCAGCAAACCCACAGCUGCAGCUGCCUGCCUGCAGGUCUGAGCUUGUUUAGGCUUCACCAGAAAGAAAAAUGCCCCCGCCUUAGUCUGUCCUGGGAGCUGUGGCAAGCCAAGCCUGUCUGAGUGAGGGUGACUGGGGACCCUGGCACUUCCCUACUUACUUUAUAUCCUUUUAAAAUUGUUGUUUCAGACAUAAACACUCUCAAAGUAGAAAAUUUAGAAAAUAUGCAUGACAAAAGAAAAAACGAAAAUGACCCGUAAUCCUGCUUCCUAAGAGUAACUGUUUUUCUUCUCUUUCCAGUCUUUUUUUCUAUGCAUGUGUGCUCCCUAUCCAAAUGGGAUCAUAGGAUAGAUAAAUGCUGCUUGGGGAAUUUGUUUCUUUUUUAUUUAACACUGUAGGGUGAACAUCUUUCUAUGCCAAAGCAAACUUUUCUUUGCCGUUAUUUUUGCCUAUCAUCUGUUUUUGGCAAGUCCUCUUCCAAAGGUGUGUGGAACCUGGAGAGGAUUUCUGUGUAUUGGGGUCCUAGGCGCCAACUGGAUCACCGGAUCCAGCCCUUUUUAGGUAGGAGUGCGGGGGCAGCUCUGUGGCUUUGAGUAAUAAAAAAAGCCCUAGGCUCAUUGUUUGCACAAGCUUUCCUGCCCCAGCCCUGCUCUGACUCAUGGUGCCAUCUUAGACUUGUCACUUCAUCCCUCUGGGCCUCAGUUUCUUUAUCUAUAAAAUGGGAUGGUUGGAUUGAGGGCUUUGCCAGCUGUAAUGUCCAUGACUAAGUACUAGUAUACUGAGGCAGAUUCCAGAAGCCUCUGGGAGCAUUGGCUGCCGAGAGGAAGUUGUCUCUUCCCAGCCAGUAAUUUGGCAUCUGGCUUAAGGCUAACCAAGGAGCUAGGCGUCUUGGUCCGGAAGAUCUGAAACCUCUCUGGGGUAGCCAGCACCCUACGCUAUGGUUCCCAGGGCUUCACAGAUCACUGGGUUCUCCCCACCUUUCUGUUCCCUGCCUCUGGGAAAGGGAAGCAGCCGUCCUGUGCCAGCACUGAGCUCACAACUCCACUGCUUCUUGGUCAUGGUAUUAACAGCUGGAACCUGCAGCAGCCAAUAGCUACUGGUCACUCUCUGAAAUGCAAGGCAGGUGGCUGGGCAGAGAGUGACAUCUCAGGCAGUGCCAGGGCCAGUGCCUGGGGGGCUGGGCAGGUGGUGGAGCUGGGGUUUCUGGGAGCUGCAAAGGGCCUAGGAAAAGGGCUUUGGGUGGGCAGGCUUUCCUCACCUCUGUUUUCCCUUCCUCCUGUGAUCCAGGAAUAGCAGCUGGCUUUUCUUAAUCUGAUGUGAAGAGUCCUGCCAAGAAACUUGGAGGCUGAGGCAGCUGCUGUUUGAAGGUUUUGAGGGAUCGGAGCAUCGUGAAGUAUAAACAGCAGAAUCUUUUUUUCUGGCACUUGGGCUGUUUGUCUUCCAUACUCUUUUAUAGAAAUUACAACAACAGCAACAACAAUAAUAGCAAUACAGCUACCAUGUAAUAAGUUUUGCCAUCUUCUAGGCAAUGAGCCCAAUGCUUUACUUGCUUCAUCUUAUUUGAGAUGAGCUGUUUGCUGGUAUUAUCUCUAUUUUACAGCUGGGGAAAUAAAAGUUCCAAGAAGUUAAGCUAUUUGCCUAAGGCUCCCUAGCAAUGAGUUGCUAGGCUACGAUUUGGACUCAGAACGUCUGUUCUUAAGCUUGGCCUCUUACCCACCUGGCCUUUCCACCUCCUCAAAGCUUCAUGCUUCAGUUGGGCAGGAACCUCCCACUGUAGUUUCCGCUUUUCCUUAUAUGCAGAGAUUCCCAGAGGCUUAGAAAUUCUAUCAGUUCCAGGCAUCUAUGUGCUAGGUCCCAUACUCAUCAACAGUGUACCCAAAAUGUGUAAGCUUUGGUCUUCAAGUGCUGGAAGUUUAAUAUUUCAUUGAUGAGAUGAGUGAUACAGAUCCUGAGGUUCCAGGGGUCAUUUAUAUUUUUCAUGGCAUCAUGGAUUGUGUGUUUUGAGCCAUGCCUUCUGCAAUGUGAAUCCCACCUCUGCCACUUACCUGUGACUCUGGGCAAGUCUCUUAUCCUCUCUGUGCCUCAGAAUCCUCCUCUCUUAAACAGGGGGGAAUGCUAUAUACUUCAUAGAGAUGACUCUUAAGGAUUAAAGAGAAUGUAUAUAAAGUACUGUCACUUAGUAGGUGCUUCAUGAAUGUUAGCUGUUGUUAUAAAGACUAAAAGAAUGGUACCCUGAGUCAGAUGCCUGAGUUUUAUUCUAACUUAACUACUUAGCAGUUGUGUGACUUUGGAUAACUCACUUCUAUCACUCUGUGCCUCAGUUAAUAGGAUUGUCGUAAGGAGUAAAUGUGUAUCUUCUAUGUAUAUAAGUAUACAAAUGCACACACAUAUCUCAGAGCAACACAUGUUUACUAAGUAUCUAUUAUGUCCCUGGCACAUACUAACUGUUCUGGUUUUUAUUUUUCAUUAUGAUUCCUCUACUAUCAGCACAAUUUUAUAUUUAUUACCAUGACUAUUAGUCAUACAUCAGAUUUAUGGAUUCGAAACCACCUCACUCACUCCUCUAGAUGACCAUAUUUGUAUUCAUGGCAUUGCACAUUUAAGUCAUCAAAAUUUGUAACUUUGGAAUUAUUUAUAAUUUUCCUUUCCCCCUCCACAAUCACCCUGUCAGUACUGGCUGGGACCGUUUCUUCUAUCAAAACCGUCCUUUCCAUUCCCACUGGCGUCAUAUACCUCAUCAGUCAUUUAGAGUUGGUGUGAGUGAGUGUUGCAGCUUCUUCCCUGGGAGCCACUUUUGAUGAGAAGAAGCCAGGAAGGGAGGGGCACAUGGUUCUUCCACAUCCACUCUCCUAUGGUGGGUCAUUUCCCAUCAAGAUAUCCAAAGAAUUAUUCUUUGAACUCAAUUCUGUUCACUUCUCUCCUGAAAAACAAUCAAUGUCCCCUCACCCAUGCCUUUUAUUUUUCACACAGAUUCUUGAGUCUGGGUUUCAAGGCUUUCCACAGACUGGCCCAAGCUUUUUACAGGAAUCACCAAGGAUGAUGCCUGACCUUGCAUUUCGCUCGUGCAGUUUGUUUGUACCAUUCAAGUGCAAACACCUUUUGCCCCAGGUGCAGCUGACGGCCAGCUUGCAACCACAAGGAUGGCCACCAUGAAGUCAAAGGAGAACUGAGAGAAGAAACAAGAAAACAGACCAGGAACCCUGACUGAACUGCUCUGAAAAGCCCCUGCUUCUGGACUCCAGUCCAAUGGAAGACUCUGAGGAGGACUUAGGCAAGGCAAACCCACCAGAUGAAGGAAGCCUGAAUCCCAGAGUCUCAUUGCUUAGAGGAAAACUGCUGUAGAGAGCUGCUUGACCAAGAACACCUGCCUUGAACCUUGUAUGAGAAAGAAAUAAAGUUCUACUACUACAUUAA
This is an RNA transcript of Symphalangus syndactylus (siamang), 16256 nucleotides long. It is a transcript of the gene named pyruvate dehydrogenase complex component X, with no coding region annotated. Lineage: Eukaryota; Metazoa; Chordata; Mammalia; Primates; Hylobatidae. The record is from RefSeq and is a predicted model, not a curated record.